Molecule: ribosomal RNA, 690 nt
Filed under: uncultured Tulasnellaceae
Lineage: Eukaryota; Fungi; Basidiomycota; Agaricomycetes; Cantharellales; Tulasnellaceae
Description: eukaryotic LSU rRNA
Rfam family: 5.8S ribosomal RNA (bases 195-348)
Source: RNAcentral
UCCGUAGGUGAACCUGCGGAAGGAUCAUUAUAGAGUUUGCGCGGUUGAUGCUGGGUUCUUACAAGUGCACGCCGUGUCUUUCUUAUCCACCCCACCGUGCAUCCCGGCGCGCCUCGUCUUUCGACGGGGGGCGGUCCGUUUUUUUACACCUUACCUUUUGUAACCGAGCGAAUGAAAUUGAUUUAACAAUGUACAACUAUCAACAACGGAUCUCUUGGCAUCCCACUCGAUGAAGAACGCAGCGAAUUGCGAUAAGUAAUGUGAAUUGCAGAAUUCAGUGAAUCAUCGAAUCUUUGAACGCACCUUGCGCCCUCUGGUAUUCCGGAGAGCAUGCCCGGUUGAGUAUUAUGAUCAUCUCAAACCUUUCGUUUCUGAUUGCAAAGGUCUUGCGUUUGGCGAAGUCGUCUAUCGAGACGGUGGUAGCUGAACUUGGACUUGGAAGCGUAUUGGUCUUGGACUUGAGCGUCUCGUCGGUCCGCUUGGAUCGACCCGCUUGAAAUGUAUUAGCUGGCGACCCGCCUUACGGUUCCACUCGGCGUAGUAAGUCUUAUUCGUCGAGGACGCCUCUUACGAGGUGGCCUAUGGGUUUGGUGUGAUGCCGCUUCCAGUCGUCUUUGGACAGUCUUGAACCUUUAAUCUCAACUCGGGUAGGACUACCCGCUGAACUUAAGCAUAUCAAUAAGCGGAGGA